AUUUAAGUAGUUUAAAAUAAAAUAUUAAUUUGUGGAAUUAAAGAUGUAAAUUUAAUUUAUCUUAAAUU
This 68-nucleotide transfer RNA is filed under the name Brachymyrmex patagonicus. Its description in RNAcentral is "tRNA-His". Lineage: Eukaryota; Metazoa; Arthropoda; Insecta; Hymenoptera; Formicidae. The record is from RNAcentral.